Hemicordylus capensis (graceful crag lizard) is the source of this 685-nucleotide long non-coding RNA. RefSeq lists it as uncharacterized. Lineage: Eukaryota; Metazoa; Chordata; Lepidosauria; Squamata; Cordylidae. The record is from RefSeq and is a predicted model, not a curated record. The transcript has 3 exons.
UCUAAGGAUCCUGAAACUUUUCUUGUUCUAAGCACUAUCACCUCACCAUCGGACAAAUUUUGUUCUGUGAUUAAAGUUUUAGUUGCUUAAUCUCAUUGAUUAAUCAUAAACACUUGUGGUUCUUUUUGAAAUGGUAAUAUUUGAGUCAACACAUUAAUUCUGUGAGAAUUCAUCAUGUCUCCAGACAAGCUGCUGCUUAGAGCCUAUUCUUCUGUAGUGAAGGCCCCAUCACCAUGGCAACACCCAGCCGUUUCAUGGGGCCCAGUUGAUGCACUGCAUAGGUAAAGCAUCCAUAUGGAACAGCAGAGUGACAAAGCCUGCUGCCAAUAACUUGAUGCACAGUAAAGCUUGCAGAGGAAGCAAGGACAAAAAUAUUUCUAUAGUUGCCUUAUAUAAGCAGAGAGAACUCUACAACGAAGGUCAAAACUGGCCUUUUGGGAAAACGGAUAAUUCAGACUACUGCUUCUUUGUCUAGAAGUUACACCCUCUCCUGAUGAAGGCUCUCCCAGAGUCAGAGUCUGUUAGUUCUGUCACCAGUCCAGUAUAUCUACUAAAGCAAAAAGAGAGAGAGAAGAGAAUGGAACUCAAAUGCCACGUGUCUUAAAUGCUGAGAACUGUGGUCUGGCAGAACAUCAUCUGUGAGGAGAGACCAAAAAAGAAAUAAAAAAAGAAAAAGCUGCCUUUU